RNAcentral lists this ribosomal RNA (241 nucleotides) under uncultured bacterium. RNAcentral describes it as "partial 16S ribosomal RNA". It matches the Rfam family "Bacterial small subunit ribosomal RNA", at positions 30 to 278 of the family's 1533-position model. The record is from RNAcentral.
UUGAACGCUGGCGGCAUGCCUUACACAUGCAAGUCGAACGGUAGAGGGGCAACCCUUGAGAGUGGCGAACGGGUGAGUAAUGCAUCGGAACGUGCCCAGUCGUGGGGGAUAACGCAGCGAAAGCUGUGCUAAUACCGCAUGUGAUCUGUGGAUGAAAGCAGGGGACCGCAAGGCCUUGUGCGAUUGGAGCGGCCGAUGUCAGAUUAGCUAGUUGGUAGGGUAAAAGCCUACCAAGGCGACG